RNAcentral lists this ribosomal RNA (471 nucleotides) under uncultured Bacillota bacterium. Its description in RNAcentral is "bacterial SSU rRNA". It matches the Rfam family "Bacterial small subunit ribosomal RNA", at positions 451 to 918 of the family's 1533-position model. The record is from RNAcentral. Lineage: Bacteria; Bacillati; Bacillota.
GAGAGUAACUGUUCAUCCCCUKGACGGUAUCUAACCAGAAAGCCASGGCUAAYUACGUGCCAGCAGCCGCGGUAAUACGUAGGUGGCAAGCGUUGUCCGGAUUUAUUGGGCGUAAAGCGAGCGCAGGCGGUUUCUUAAGUCUGAUGUGAAAGCCCCCGGCUCAACCGGGGAGGGUCAUUGGAAACUGGGAGACUUGAGUGCAGAAGAGGAGAGUGGAAUUCCAUGUGUAGCGGUGAAAUGCGUAGAUAUAUGGAGGAACACCAGUGGCGAAGGCGGCUCUCUGGUCUGUAACUGACGCUGAGGCUCGAAAGCGUGGGGAGCAAACAGGAUUAGAUACCCUGGUAGUCCACGCCGUAAACGAUGAGUGCUAAGUGUUGGAGGGUUUCCGCCCUUCAGUGCUGCAGCUAACGCAUUAAGCACUCCGCCUGGGGAGUACGACCGCAAGGUUGAAACUCAAAUGAAUUGACGGGG